UGCCAGCCGCCGCGGUAAUACGGGGGGUGCAAGCGUUAUUCGGAAUUAUUGGGCGUAAAGGGCGCGCAGGCGGUCUUGUCAGUCAGGUGUGAAAGCCCGGGGCUCAACCCCGGAUGGUCACUUGAAACAGCAAGACUUGAGUACUGGAGAGGAAAGCGGAAUUCCUGGUGUAGAGGUGAAAUUCGUAGAUAUUCGGAGGAACACCAGUGGCGAAGGCGGCUUUCUGGACCAAUACUGACGCUGAGAUGCGAAAGCGUGGGGAGCGAACAGGAUUAGAUA
Molecule: ribosomal RNA, 279 nt
Filed under: uncultured bacterium
Lineage: Bacteria
Description: partial 16S ribosomal RNA
Rfam family: Bacterial small subunit ribosomal RNA
Source: RNAcentral